GAAAUGCGAUAAGUAAUGUGAAUUGCAGAAUUCAGUGAAUCAUCGAAUCUUUGAACGCACAUUGCGCCCGCCAGUAUUCUGGCGGGCAUGCCUGUUCGAGCGUCAUUUCAACCAUCAAGCCCCGCGCUUGUGUUGGGGACCUGCGGCUGCCGCAGGCCCUGAAAACCAGUGGCGGGCUCGCUGUCACACCGAGCGUAGUAGAUUUCUCAUCUCGCUCAGGGCGUGCUGCGGGUCCCGGCCGUAAAAAAGCCUUAUUUUACCCAAGGUUGACCUCGGAUCAGGUAGGAAGACCCGCUGAACUUAAGC
RNAcentral lists this unclassified non-coding RNA (306 nucleotides) under plant metagenome. RNAcentral's name for it is "partial contains 5.8S ribosomal RNA, internal transcribed spacer 2, and large subunit ribosomal RNA". The stretch from base 1 to 105 matches the Rfam family "5.8S ribosomal RNA", at positions 50 to 154 of the family's 154-position model. The record is from RNAcentral.